This is a long non-coding RNA of Corvus hawaiiensis (hawaiian crow), 444 nucleotides long. RefSeq lists it as uncharacterized. The record is from RefSeq and is a predicted model, not a curated record. The transcript has 4 exons. NCBI's taxonomy places the organism in Eukaryota, Metazoa, Chordata, Aves, Passeriformes, Corvidae.
GCCACCGCGGGCUGUCCCUGCGGCGCCACCGCGACCCCUCGUGGGAAAUGAGAAACGGGAAUGGCUUUAUCAGCUGCUCGUUGAUGGGUUUGAAUUCCGGCUUUUUUAGGAACAUUAAGUGCAUUAGUCUUCAAAUGGCCCAGCUGAAUAAAUUGUCCUAGUGGAGCAGAGAACUGUAAAAGUGUAAAAAAAUAAAAUAAUGAAAAGGAAAAAAAAAGCAAAAGAGAAAGUUCGAAGAAACAGAGUUGCAGAUGUUUUUACAGGAAUGACAUUAAAGAGAAAAUCUGCUUGGAGACAGAACCCACACACUGCCAAAUUGUUAGAAAGAAGUUGAGCACUACCAGAAGUGGAGUCGUUAUUGAAGAUGCUAGAAAGAGCAACGGGAAACUUAUUUUCUUGUCUUAGAACUGAAAAUUCUUAAUACUCCUCACAGUGGGAGCUACA